This 744-nucleotide non-coding RNA is filed under the name Aphthona albertinae. Lineage: Eukaryota; Metazoa; Arthropoda; Insecta; Coleoptera; Chrysomelidae. The record is from RNAcentral.
GAAAAGUUUUAUUUUAGCUUAAAAAAUUAGGUUUUAUUUUUAAUUAUAUGUAAAUUUUUGUUAAAAAUUGGUAGUGCAGUAAUUUAUUUUGGUAAUUUAAGUAAUUAAGAAUUAGAAAUAAUAAAGAUUAUAAACAAAAUUUGUGCCAGCAGUUGCGGUUAUACAAGUUAUAUAAUUUAAUUUUUUUAAUUUUAAUUAAUUAGUUAAUUUAAAUUUUAAAUUUAAAUUUGAAUAGUGAAAUUUUAAAUUUAUGUUAAUAUUUAUUUUUGAUAAUGGUUUAAGAAAUUUUAAUAAUAAACUAGGAUUAGAUACCCUAUUAUUUAAAAUGUUUAUAAUGAAUUAAAUUAGUAUUAGUUAUGUUCUUUAAAAUUAAAAUUUUUGGCGGUAUUUUAGUCUAUUCAGAGGAACCUGUUUUAUAAAUGAUAGUCCACGAUUUAAUUUACUUUUUUUAUAUUUACAUAUCGUCGUAAUUUAAAUAUUUUUAUAGGAUUUUAAUAUUUAAGAUUUUUAUUAAAAAAUAUAUCAGAUCAAGGUGUAGUUUAUAAGGAAGAAAAAAUGGGUUACAUUAAAUUUAUUUUGGGAAUUAUAUUAUUAUAAUAUUUUGAAUAUGGAUUUGAUAGUAAUUUUAAUGAAUUUAUUAAAGUGAUUAAAGCUCUAAAAUAUGUACAUAUUGCCCGUCGCUUUCAUUUAAUAUGGAAUAAGUCGUAACAAAGUAGGUUUACUGGAAAGUGAGUCUAGAGUCAA